Long non-coding RNA from Orcinus orca (killer whale), 201 nucleotides. RefSeq lists it as uncharacterized. Lineage: Eukaryota; Metazoa; Chordata; Mammalia; Artiodactyla; Delphinidae. The record is from RefSeq and is a predicted model, not a curated record. The transcript has 3 exons.
UGAUGACAUAGAUUUCAUUGCUGAGUGAUACUGCAUUGUAUGUAAAAUCAUCGUACCUGAAUCCACUCAUUAUGCUGCUACGGGCCUGAUGACAUAGAUUUCAUUGCUGAGUGAUAUUGCAUUGUACGUAAAAUCAUCGUACCUGAAUCCACUCAUUGUGCUGCUAUGGGCCUGAUGACAUAGAUUUCAUUGCUGAGUGAU